GGAGAGAUGGCUCAGUGGUUAAGAGCACUGACUGUUCUUCCAGAGGUGCUGAGUUCAAUUCCCAGCAACCACA
This 73-nucleotide transfer RNA is filed under the name Mus musculus (house mouse). Its description in RNAcentral is "tRNA-Asn". Lineage: Eukaryota; Metazoa; Chordata; Mammalia; Rodentia; Muridae. The record is from RNAcentral.